This 497-nucleotide ribosomal RNA is filed under the name uncultured bacterium. Its description in RNAcentral is "partial 16S ribosomal RNA". It matches the Rfam family "Bacterial small subunit ribosomal RNA", at positions 28 to 507 of the family's 1533-position model. The record is from RNAcentral.
GACGAACGCUGGCGGCGUGCCUAAUACAUGCAAGUUGAGCGCUGAAGGUUGGUACUUGUACCAACUGGAUGAGCAGCGAACGGGUGAGUAACGCGUGGGGAAUCUGCCUUUGAGCGGGGGACAACAUUUGGAAACGAAUGCUAAUACCGCAUAAAAACUUUAAACACAAGUUUUAAGUUUGAAAGAUGCAAUUGCAUCACUCAAAGAUGAUCCCGCGUUGUAUUAGCUAGUUGGUGAGGUAAAGGCUCACCAAGGCGAUGAUACAUAGCCGACCUGAGAGGGUGAUCGGCCACAUCGGGACUGAGACACGGCCCAAACUCCUACGGGAGGCAGCAGUAGGGAAUCUUCGGCAAUGGACGAAAGUCUGACCGAGCAACGCCGCGUGAGUGAAGAAGGUUGUCGGAUCGUAAAACUCUGUUGGUAGAGAAGAACGUUGGUGAGAGUGGAAAGCUCAUCAAGUGACGGUAACUACCCAGAAAGGGACGGCUAACUACGUG